Molecule: long non-coding RNA, 308 nt
Organism: Telopea speciosissima
Lineage: Eukaryota; Viridiplantae; Streptophyta; Magnoliopsida; Proteales; Proteaceae
Exons: 2
Source: RefSeq, a predicted model, not a curated record
GUAGUUUAUACAAUCAUGUUGAUAAAUGAUUACAAAAGUUCCCUUUAUAGGCUUAAAUAUUUUCAUUUUUUUUUUUCUUUUAAUUUCCCUUGCAACUAAACAGAGCUUGAGCAGGAAGUUCUGCAGGAUGUUAUCAAGUUUUAUCAUUCAGAUUGUUGCCCAAUGUGGGCACUAUUUUAUAAUAAAAGCCAUGAACAUGGUGGACUAAUGCGUUGGAAACUGGCGCCAUAUGCAAGCAAGUAAUUUUUUAUUCCUGCAUUUUGGGAGAGGUCUUUACUUCAGACUUGCAAGAAUUAUAAAUUGGUUUA